This 631-nucleotide ribosomal RNA is filed under the name Isaurica schuetti. RNAcentral's name for it is "partial small subunit ribosomal RNA". The record is from RNAcentral. Lineage: Eukaryota; Metazoa; Mollusca; Gastropoda; Stylommatophora; Helicidae.
UGUUGUAUAAUCUUUGCAAGAUGUACCGCAUCAUGGGUUAUAUAUAUAUUUUCCAGUUGCAAAAUUUUUCAAUCCAAGAAAUUGGGAAUAUGGUACCAUCCAAUUAACGACAAAUAAAGUGCCAGCAGUCGCGGUCAUACUUUAGGUAAAAGUAAAGAAAAAAAGAAUGCUUUAAGUAGAUAGAGGUUAAUUAGUAGUGAAAUAUACAUAUUUAUUAUAUACUAUUCUACUUAAUAAUACCAUAAAAACUGAGCACAAACAGGGAUUAGAUACCCCUUUAUGCAGUAAGUAGCCACAGCAUAUUCUGGGCACUACAACUUACUAAGUUAAAACCCAAGCAACAUGGCGGUAGUAAUGAAUAGUUAGGGGAACUUACUAAGUAAAUGAUAACCAUCAAGAAAAUGUACGCUAACUAAUAUUUUACAUACCGUCGUCGUCAGAUAUACUAUAAUAGAAUAUCAUAAUAUAGAACACGUAUUAAAGGACAGACCAAGGUGUAGACUAUGUUAUCGUUUCAGCGAGUUACUAUAAAAAUUGAUUUCACACUACAACUUUAAUGUUGCUGUCUGUAGGACUUAAAAGUAAUAAUUAAUGUAUUAAGCAUAUUAUAUGAAUAGCACUCAUACUGUGU